UAAGGAAUAUUGCUCAAUGGGAGAAAUCCUGAAGCAGCAACGCCGCGUGGAGGAUGAAGGGUCUAUGACUUGUAAACUCCUGUAAAGAAGGAAAAAAUUCCCAUUUGAUGGGAGAUGAUGGUACUUCUGGAGUAAGCCCCGGCUAACUACGUGCCAGCAGCCGCGGUAAUACGUAGGGGGCAAGCGUUGUCCGGAUUUACUGGGUGUAAAGGGUGAUCAGGCGGAUUUGUAAGUCAGAGGUGAAAUCUUACAGCUUAACUGUGAAACUGCCUUUGAUACUGCAAGCCUAGAGUAUGGAAGAGAGUGAUGGAAUAUCUGGUGUAGCAGUGAAAUGCGUAGAUAUCAGAUAGAACACCAAUGGCGAAGGCAGUCACUUGGUCCAUUACUGACGCUAAAGCACGAAAGCGUGGGUAACA
This 416-nucleotide ribosomal RNA is filed under the name uncultured bacterium. RNAcentral describes it as "bacterial SSU rRNA". It matches the Rfam family "Bacterial small subunit ribosomal RNA", at positions 355 to 770 of the family's 1533-position model. The record is from RNAcentral.